Molecule: long non-coding RNA, 403 nt
Organism: Centruroides sculpturatus (bark scorpion)
Lineage: Eukaryota; Metazoa; Arthropoda; Arachnida; Scorpiones; Buthidae
Exons: 3
Source: RefSeq, a predicted model, not a curated record
UGUUUAAAAACAUAAUAGACUUUUAUAAAUUUUACACAUUAUUAGUAGAAAGGUUAGCUUUGAAUUCAAAAUCACUGCAAAAGCUGUUUAUUGUGAAUUCAAUACAAUUUUGUGAAGUUAACACAAUUCAUGUGUCGUCAGUUGAAUGGCAUUCAGUUAACAGAAUAGUACCAAAUAUUCUAAUAUAUAUAUAGUAUCAAAAAGUGGACUGUCUGAAAAUUAUUAUAUCCAAACUCCUUGGUUCUGGAAUUGUAGCUGCCUCUACUCUAGUCAAAGUACCUCAAAUAUUGAAAUUAUACAAUGCAAAAAGUAGUGAAGGAAUCAGUUUUUAUGGUGUUCUUUUGGAAUUAAUUAGCAUGACAGCUACUACUUCAUACAGUUUUAAAAAGCAAUUUCCAUUUAG